RNAcentral lists this ribosomal RNA (247 nucleotides) under uncultured bacterium. Its description in RNAcentral is "partial 16S ribosomal RNA". It matches the Rfam family "Bacterial small subunit ribosomal RNA", at positions 57 to 305 of the family's 1533-position model. The record is from RNAcentral.
GCAAGUCGAACGGCAACAGCAGAGCUUGUCUGGCUGGCGAGUGGCGGACGGGUGAGUAACGCGUGGGAAUCUACCUAGUAGCGGGGGAUAACAUGGAGAAAUCCAUGCUAAUACCGCAUACGCCCUACGGGGGAAAGGAGGGGAUCUUCGGACCUUCCACUAUUAGAUGAGACUGCGUCGGAUUAGCUUGUUGGUGAGGUAAUGGCUCACCAAGGCGACGAUACGUAGCUGGUCUGAGAGGAUGAUC